GGGUUGUGAGGUUAAGCGACUAAGCGUACACGGUGGAUGCCCUGGCAGUCAGAGGCGAUGAAGGGCGUGCUAAUCUGCGAUAAGCGCCGGUAAGGUGAUAUGAACCGUUAUAACCGGCGAUACCCGAAUGGGGAAACCCAGUGUGAUUCGUCACACUAUCAUUAACUGAAUCCAUAGGUUAAUGAGGCGAACCGGGGGAACUGAAACAUCUAAGUACCCCGAGGAAAAGAAAUCAACCGAGAUUCCCCCAGUAGCGGCGAGCGAACGGGGAGGAGCCCAGAGCCUGAAUCAGCAUGUGUGUUAGUGGAAGCGUCUGGAAAGGCGCGCGAUACAGGGUGACAGCCCCGUACA
This 351-nucleotide ribosomal RNA is filed under the name Salmonella enterica. RNAcentral's name for it is "partial 23S ribosomal RNA". It matches the Rfam family "Bacterial large subunit ribosomal RNA", at positions 1 to 379 of the family's 2925-position model. Lineage: Bacteria; Pseudomonadati; Pseudomonadota; Gammaproteobacteria; Enterobacterales; Enterobacteriaceae. The record is from RNAcentral.